Molecule: long non-coding RNA, 1652 nt
Organism: Megalobrama amblycephala (Wuchang bream)
Lineage: Eukaryota; Metazoa; Chordata; Actinopteri; Cypriniformes; Xenocyprididae
Exons: 3
Source: RefSeq, a predicted model, not a curated record
GUUAAUCAUUACAAGAUGAGGACUUUGUUAAAGGGCAUUAAUUUAAGUUAAUAUCGCCUUGUGCCAAUUAAGGCGGUUUACCUUUCUGGCAGCUUGCGAAGGGAGAACAGGUGUGUGUAUUUGUACUGAUUACUACCAGAGACAAACAGCAGAGAGAGGCUUGUCCUUGUCGGGACGGAGGUGUUGGAUGAAACCGUUCCCUCCCUUUCUGACGAUGGAGACAGCCAGGCCUACAGUGCUGGACAUGCACUCACACUCCAACUGAAUUUGGCUGCAAGUAAAUGUCCCUCUUCCCACCUACCAGGUCACUGAUUCACAAGAACCCGGCCACCAAACCCUCUUACCACCUUCAUACACCACAGAUUAAUCACCAUUCAACAUGAAUGUGUUCUUCGCUCGGUGCUUGCCCUUGUCCUUUUGUCACUGCCGUGAACCUGCACGCUGUGUUUUUAAUCAAAGACCACUGUGCCAGACCCAGCACGUCCCCUCCCACCGAGCCCAGAGGAUGCAGCGGAACAGUAGGGCGGCAGUAACGGAUGAGCGUUAAGCCGGGGCCGGAGAUAUUUAAGAGGAGCUAAUUGUGAGAAGUACUGGAGCACGUGGAGAGAGACCGUACGAUGUGGUGUGAGCGAUGCCCCGCACCCGCGGUCGGCUGGAUGGCGGUACUUCAUCACUGCUUCCAGAACAGGUAAUUAAGGAGCCACCUGCCGAGCCGCACCGGAGAGACCUGCUCUACCGGAGAGCUCCGCACUGGGCCCCGCGGCACGCCGCUCCAAUCAAAGUAUUAUCACUCAUUUUGUAAAAGUCCACCUCUGCCUUUCUCUCUCUCUCUCUCUUCUCCCUCUGUCCCAAACACUACUUUAUUUAUUAAUGCUAAAUGUCACCUCAAGAGAGGCAUGGGGAUGUGAGGGAGAGGCAGGAUUACUUUGUCAUCUGGCUUUGAAUUCAUGCCAUCUUCAUUCGCAUCAUAAAGCGCCUUUUAAAGGGAUAGUUCACCCUUCAAAUGAUAGUUGUCAUCUUUACGUUGUUCAAUUCCUUUUCCUUCUUUGCUUUCUUAUUAAGGAGAAUGUCAGGACUGCUCUCUUCCAUACAAAGAAUAUUAUGAAUAUAUUAUUCAUAGAAAAUGCUUAACAGCCACCAUUCACUUUCAUUGUAUGCAAAAAAGCAGCAUGGAUGUUCUUCUAUAAAUGACUCCUUUUCUUUUCUACACAAUGACUAAAAAGCAAUAGGCUUCACAAGACAUGAGGUUGAUGACAGAAGUUUCAUUUAUUUUAAUUAGAUGAAUUUUCCUAAUCUUUUGGUUCAGCACAUGUAGCAUUUGUUUAGACAGUCCAGUGUUUUUUUAGUAUCACUGAUACUAUAAUAUUAUAGUUAUUAAUAGAUUAAAAAAUAUUUUUGUUUUUAUAAUAUUAAUAAUUUUGUUUUGUUGUAAUUUUUAAUAGUGAUUGUUUUUAAUGUCCAUAUAGUUUUUAUUAAUUUUUAUGUUAAACUAAACAUUUAGUUAAACUAAAUGAAAAUGAGAAAUGUUUCAUUGUCAACAUGUUUCAUUGUCAGCAUGCUGAAAUAAAAUCAUUUCAUAAAAUCAAAGGUUUUUUUUCUUUUCUUUUUUUCCAGUUCCGAUAAAAUAAAAAAAAAUAAAAAAUUAGCUUUAC